This 408-nucleotide ribosomal RNA is filed under the name uncultured bacterium. Its description in RNAcentral is "partial 16S ribosomal RNA". It matches the Rfam family "Bacterial small subunit ribosomal RNA", at positions 28 to 526 of the family's 1533-position model. The record is from RNAcentral.
GACGAACGCUGGCGGCGUGCUUAACACAUGCAAGUCGACCGAAGCGGCGAACGGGUGAGUAACGCGUAAUCAACCUGCCCUUCAGAGGGGGACAACAGUUGGAAACGACUGCUAAUACCGAAUACUGAAGGCGGGGAUUGCGUCGGAUGAGCUAGUUGGAGGGGUAACGGCCCACCAAGGCGAUGGUCAGGAGCCGGGCUGGGAGGAGGAACGGCCACAUUGGGACUGAAGACAGGCCCAGACUCCUACGGGAGGCAGCAGGGGGGAAUCUUCCGCAAUGGACGAAAGUCUGACGGAGCAACGCCGCGUUAGUGAUGACGGCCUUCGGGUUGUAAAGCUCUUUUAAUCGGGACGCGGUACCGGAAUAGAAAGCCACGGCUAACUACGUGCCAGCAGCCGCGGUAAUUC